Molecule: ribosomal RNA, 3567 nt
Filed under: Candidatus Moraniibacteriota bacterium
Lineage: Bacteria; Candidatus Moraniibacteriota
Description: partial 23S ribosomal RNA
Rfam family: Bacterial large subunit ribosomal RNA
Source: RNAcentral
CAAGCUUUGAUCCGUGGAUUUCCGAAUGGGAAAACCCAACCGUCACUCUCGAGUGACGGGUAUCAUUAUCUGAAUACAUAGGAUAGUGAAGUAAACCCUGGGAAUUGAAACAUCUUAGUACCAGGAGGAAAAGAAAACAAUUUACCCCCACACUAAUUUUUUGUAAAUUUAUUUUGCUAGAUAGUUUGUUAUAAGCAGGGUAUUUUUAUGGAAAUUGGUGUGGGGGUUAUAGUGAUUCCGUCAGUAGUGGCGAGCGAACGCGGAAUAGCCUAAAACCUGUCGCCCUCGGGCGACGGGUGGUUGCGAGACAACGCAACUCGUUUAAUCGGGAUCUAAAUAUUUUUCUUAAUAGAACACUUUGGAAAAAGUGGCCAUAGAAGGUAAUAGCCCUGUAUGUGAAAAGAAAAGUGUUGUGAUGGUAUUGUUCUCAAGUAGGGCAGGACCGGUGAAAUCCUGUCUGAAUCCGGGAGCACUAAACUUCCAAGGCUAAAUAUUGCUUCAGAUCGAUAGUGAACUAGUACCGUGAGGGAAAGGUGAAAAGCAUCCCGAUGAGGGAGGUGAAAUAGUACCUGAAACCAUACGCUGACUCAGAGUCGGAGCCGAUUUAUCGGUAACGGCGUGCUUUUUGCAGAACGAGCCAACGAGUUAAUUCUAUGCGGCUUACAUAAGCUACUUUUGUAGAAUAUGUAUAGUGAAAGCGAGCUUUAAAAGGCGACUUGUCGCAUGGAUUAGACCCGAAACCAGGCGAGCUACAUAUGAGCAGGGUGAACCUCGAGUAACAUCGAGGGGAGGCCCGAACCCACCAGUCGUUCAACACUGGGGGAUGACUUGUGUGUAGAGGAGAAAUUCCAAUCGAGCUUGGCAAUAGCUGGUUCUCUCCGAAAUAGCUUGAGGGCUAGCGUCUUGUUAUUGGACAUAAGAGGUAGAGCUACUGAAUGAGAAUUCGCGGUUCGCCGUAGGGUUCCCAACCAAACUCCGAAUUCUUAUGUUUUUAUCAAGGCAGUCAGAAAUCCGGCUCUAAGGUCGGAUCUCAAAAGGGAAACAGCCCAGAUCAUAAUCUAAGGUCCCUAAAUCCAUAUUAAGUGAUUGUAAGGAGGUAAAGUUUCUUAUACACCUAGGAGGUUGGCUUAGAAGCAGCCAUCCUUUAAAGAGUGCGUAACAGCUCACUAGUCUAGAGAUUUUGCGCCGAAAAUGUAUUGGGGCUAAAUAUGGUACCGAAGAUAUGAGUCCAUGGGACAUACACUAAGAAAACGAAGAUAAAACGAAACUAACUAAAAAAUAUUAGUUUCAUUAGUGUUAAUAUUCGUUAAUUUAGUGUAUGCCCUGUGGGCGGUAGGAGAGUGUUCUAUGUGCUGCGAAGUUUUGCUGUGAGGCAGGAUGGAGCGCAUAGAAGUAAGAAUGUUGGCAUGAGUAACCACAAUGCGGGUGAGAACCCCGCACACCGAAAGUCCAAGGUUUCCUGGGCAAUGUCGAUCAUCCCAGGGUUAGUCGGGCCUAAGGCGAGGCCGAAAGGCGUAGUCGAUGGACACACGGUUAAUAUUCCGUGACUACAAUAGUAUUCGAUGGAGUGACGUGUUCUAGUAUAUUUUGCGUCUUAUUGGAUUGACGUAAUUAUUUUGAGGGUGUCUUGCAGGCAAAUCCGCAAGAUAUAGCCCAAGAAAUAGUUGGAACCCCGCCUCGGCGGGGGAACGAAAUAAAGCAGGGCACCAGGAAAAACUUCUAAGGCUAGUACUGUUGUAUCCGUACUGCAAACCGACACAGGUGGACUGGGCGAGUAGCCCAAGGUGAACGAGAGAACCUUCGUUAAGGAACUCGGCAAAAAAGCUAGAUGUAAGUUAGCGAGAUAUCUUUCCGCUCAACUUUCUGAAUUGUAAUGCGAUUUAAAGUAUGUAUUUACACUUAUGUCUUAUUUUGCCAAAAAAUAAAAAGUAUAUUACGUUUUAAAAAGAAUUUGAGGCGUAAAUUAAAAGAGCACAGAAACCACGUUAGGAAAUUAUUAAAUAAUUAUUUAUCUGAUGAUAAAUAGUAUUCAGAAAGUUGAGCGGACGCAGCUAAAGUAUCCCAGGCGACUGUUUACCAAAAACACAGGUCUCUGCAAACCCGUAAGGGGAAGUAUAGGGGCUGACGCCUGACCAGUGCUGGAACGUUAACGGGAGCGGUGCAAGCCAAUCCCCGAAGCGCCAGUGAACGUCGGCAAUAACUAUAAUUGUCCUAAGGUAGCGAAAUUCCUUGUCGGGUAAAUUCCGACCCGCAUCAAAGGCGUAACGACUUGGGAACUGUCUCGACGAAGGACUCGGUGAAAUCGCAGUGACGGUGAAGAUGCCGUCAACCUACGGCAAGACGAAAAGACCCCGUGGAGCUUUACUAUAGCUUGGCAUUGGAUUAGAGUUUUGGUUGCCGAGAAUAGGUGGGAGACUUUGAAGUCUCGUUUCAGGACGAGGUGGAGUCAUCAGUGGAAUACCACCCUGCUAGAGUUUUAAUUCUAACCCUAGACCGUUAAGAGCUAAGAAGAUAGGGAAGAAGCAAUGAACUGAUCAUAAAAUUUCAAGUAAAGUAAGGUAAAACAAGGGCAAGUCAAUAUUUUUUAUAUUGAAUUGUCUUUUUAUGAUUGAUUCGUUCUUCUAAAUUCAUACCCUAUUCAUUCUUACUUCUUACCGGUCUGGGAACAGUGCCUGGUGGGUAGUUUGACUGGGGCGGUCGCCUCCCAAAUGGCAACGGAGGCGUUUACAAAGGUUGGCUAAGUCCGGAUGGAAAUCGGGCUGAUAGUGUAAAAGCAUAAGCCAGCUUUACUGAAAGACCCAUAAGUCAAUCAGUUACGAAAGUAGAAUUUAGUGAACCGACUGUCGCUUGUAGGAGCGCAGAAGAUCAUCAGAUAAAAGUUACCCCGGGGAUAACAGGCUGAUUCCUCCCAAGAGUCCAUAUCGACGGAGGAGUUUGGCACCUCGAUGUCGGCUCAUCACAUCCUGGGGCUGGAGAAGGUCCCAAGGGUUUGGCUGUUCGCCAAUUAAAGUGGUACGCGAGCUGGGUUCAAACCGUAUAGGAGUUAUAAAGUAGAAAGUUUGUAAAGUUUAUAAAGUAAAGUAUAAAAAAUUUGACUUUAUGAACAUUAUAACUUUAAAAGCUUUUGACUUUUGUACUGUUUGAGUCCGAGGUUUAGACAUCAUCAUGGCGGCGUAUAGCAGAGAUGUUAUGCGAGAAAUUAGCUUAUAUCGGUAAAAUCCAUACUCUUAUUUAUGGACAAUACCGAGGGAACCCCGGCGUUACGUCGGAGGCCCGUAGAGACUAAACGCUAAUCAUCCUAUUUUUAAAAAUAAAAAGGAUGAAUUUAUAGUCCAAUGCACAUAGUAAUAUGUGGUAACAUGCGUGAGACAGGUUGGUCUCUAUCUGCCGUAGGCGUCAUUACUUGAGAGGACUUUUUCCUAGUACGAGAGGACCGGAAAGAACGAACCUCUGGUGUAUCGGCUGUUCCGCCAGGAGCAUUGUCGAGUAGCUAAGUUCGGAAGAGAUAACCGCUGAAAGCAUCUAAGCGGGAAGCUCACCUCAAGAUUAAGUAAUAUUCGUUCGCAU